This 245-nucleotide small RNA is filed under the name Arabidopsis thaliana (thale cress). Its description in RNAcentral is "ATSL277260". Lineage: Eukaryota; Viridiplantae; Streptophyta; Magnoliopsida; Brassicales; Brassicaceae. The record is from RNAcentral.
UAAAAAAAAGAGAAAAGAGAUGGGAUAAUGAGAGAGAAGAGAUGGGAAAAGGAGAGAGAAGAGAUGGCCGAUGAAAAAAAUGUAAUUAAAAGGUAAAUAAGUAAAAUAAUUUAUCUAAAGUGUCUUCUCCAUUUAAAGUGCCUAAUUAGGAACUAACUUUCAAAAAAGUGUCUAAUCACGUAAUAUUCUCUUCUAAUUAUUAUGAGGAGAAGAAAAACAAAAGUUUUUAAUUAUUAUUUAUUUUA